CAGCUAGUUGGUUGGGGUAAUGGCCCACCAAGGCUUUGAUCGGUAGCCGGCCUGAGAGGGCGCACGGCCACACUGGAACUGAGACACGGUCCAGACUCCUACGGGAGGCAGCAGUGGGGAAUAUUGGACAAUGGGCGCAAGCCUGAUCCAGCCAUGCCGCGUGAGUGAAGAAGGCCUUCGGGUUGUAAAGCUCUUUUGUCCGGAAAGAAAAGCUCCAGGUUAAUACCUUGGGGUUCUGACGGUACCGGAAGAAUAAGCACCGGCUAACUUCGUGCCAGCAGCCGCGGUAAUACGAAGGGUGCAAGCGUUACUCGGAAUUACUGGGCGUAAAGCGUGCGUAGGUGGUUCGUUAAGUCUGAUGUGAAAGCACUGGGCUCAACCUGGGAAUGGCAUUGGAUACUGGCGAUCUAGAGUGCGGUAGAGGGCAGUGGAAUUCCCGGUGUAGCAGUGAAAUGCGUAGAGAUCGGGAGGAACAUCUGUGGCGAAGGCGACUG
RNAcentral lists this ribosomal RNA (494 nucleotides) under uncultured Gammaproteobacteria bacterium. RNAcentral describes it as "SSU rRNA". It matches the Rfam family "Bacterial small subunit ribosomal RNA", at positions 242 to 727 of the family's 1533-position model. The record is from RNAcentral. Lineage: Bacteria; Pseudomonadati; Pseudomonadota; Gammaproteobacteria.